Molecule: ribosomal RNA, 637 nt
Filed under: Grosmannia laricis
Lineage: Eukaryota; Fungi; Ascomycota; Sordariomycetes; Ophiostomatales; Ophiostomataceae
Description: eukaryotic LSU rRNA
Rfam family: Eukaryotic large subunit ribosomal RNA
Source: RNAcentral
AAGGUUGACCUCGGAUCAGGUAGGACUACCCGCUGAACUUAAGCAUAUCAAUAAGCGGAGGAAAAGAAACCAACAGGGAUUGCCCCAGUAACGGCGAGUGAAGCGGCAACAGCUCAGAUUUGGAAUCUGGCCCCUAGGGCCCGAGUUGUAAUCUGGAGAGGAUGUUUCUGGCGCGGCGCCUUCCGAGUUCCCUGGAACGGGACGCCGGAGAGGGUGAGAGCCCCGUACGGUUGGACGCCUAGCCUUUGUGAAGCUCCUUCGACGAGUCGAGUAGUUUGGGAAUGCUGCUCAAAAUGGGAGGUAAAUUUCUUCUAAAGCUAAAUACCGGCCAGAGACCGAUAGCGCACAAGUAGAGUGAUCGAAAGAUGAAAAGCACUUUGAAAAGAGGGUCAAACAGUACGUGAAAUUGUUGAAAGGGAAGCGCCCGUGGCCAGACUUGUACCCCGCGGACCAUCCAGCGCCCUCAGCGCCGGUGCACUCCGUGGGGCGCAGGCCAGCAUCGGUUUUCCCAGGGGGAUAAAGGCGGCGGGAACGUGGCUCCCUCGGGAGUGUUAUAGCCCGCCGCGCCAUGCCCCUGGGGGGACCGAGGACCGCGCUUCGGCAAGGAUGCUGGCGUAAUGGCCACCGGCGACCCGUC